Felis catus (domestic cat) is the source of this 758-nucleotide long non-coding RNA. RefSeq lists it as uncharacterized. The transcript has 3 exons. The record is from RefSeq and is a predicted model, not a curated record. Lineage: Eukaryota; Metazoa; Chordata; Mammalia; Carnivora; Felidae.
GUUGCCAAUGGAAAUGGAGAGAAACAUACUUAAGAUAUAUUUUGGAAAUCAAGUCAACAGAUUCACCAAUUAAUUAAUUGGAUUCAAGGAAGAAGGAAGAGUUAAAUACAAAGGAGCACCCUAGGAUUUUUUACCCAAUCUUACAGGCAUUAUUCUUUGUAUUCAUGAACAUUUUACAUUAUUCCAUGAUGAAGAAUCUAUACCUCUAGAGAAGCCUGCUAUGCUCAUCUUUCUGGUCAUGAAACAUAUCUGUUAUCAGUGCUUUAAAAUGGACCAUGUGAGCACUGGGUAUUGUAUGUAAGUGAUGAAUCACUAAAUUCUACUCUUGAAACCAAUACUACACUGUAUGUUAACUAACUUGAAUUUAAAUAAAUACAUUUAAAAGUAAAUAAAUAAAUAAUUUAAAAAUGUUUUAAUGAGCCAUGUGAACACCUAGGAUAUUUCACCCCUUUCCCAUGACUAGACUUAGAAAAUUUAUUCAAAAUUAUUUUGUGUGACCAUCCCUCAUUUCCCAGUUAAGUUACUGAACCUAGAUUCUUUCGUUCAUCCUUACAUUUACAGUUUUCACUUACUUUUCUUUUAUUUUUAUCCAGUUGACAGCCAGAAUCUCAUCUUUCCUAUUGGGUUUCUCCUCUUAAUUAAGUGAUUUAAUAGUCUAUGCUGAAAAGCUUCUGCCUCACUCUAUUUUCAUUAAAGAAACAUUUCCUGAUUGUCAAUUGUACUAAGGAAUAUGAGGAAGGCAUUUAAAAAAAAAAAAA